RNAcentral lists this ribosomal RNA (374 nucleotides) under uncultured prokaryote. RNAcentral describes it as "bacterial SSU rRNA". It matches the Rfam family "Bacterial small subunit ribosomal RNA", at positions 524 to 896 of the family's 1533-position model. The record is from RNAcentral.
UACGUAGGGGGCAAGCGUUGUCCGGAUUCAUUGGGCGUAAAGCGCGUGUAGGCGGCCAUACAGGUCAGCUGUGAAAACUUGAGGCUCAACCUCGAGACGUCGGCUGAAACCGUUUGGCUAGAGUCCGGAAGAGGAGAGUGGAAUUCCUGGUGUAGCGGUGAAAUGCGCAGAUAUCAGGAAGAACACCCGUGGCGAAGGCGGCUCUCUGGUACGGUACUGACGCUGAGACGCGAAAGCGUGGGGAGCGAACAGGAUUAGAUACCCUGGUAGUCCACGCCGUAAACGAUGGGUGCUAGGUGUGGGGGGUGUCGACUCCCUCCGUGCCGAAGCUAACGCAUUAAGCACCCCGCCUGGGGAGUACGGCCGCAAGGCUA